AUGAACGCUGGCGGCAUGCCUAACACAUGCAAGUCGAACGAAGGCUUCGGCCUUAGUGGCGCACGGGUGCGUAACGCGUGGGAAUCUGCCCUCAGGUUCGGAAUAACAGCGAGAAAUUGCUGCUAAUACCGGAUGAUAUCGCGAGAUCAAAGAUUUAUCGCCUGAGGAUGAGCCCGCGUAGGAUUAGCUAGUUGGUGUGGUAAAGGCGCACCAAGGCGACGAUCCUUAGCUGGUCUGAGAGGAUGAUCAGCCACACUGGGACUGAGACACGGCCCAGACUCCUACGGGAGGCAGCAGUGGGGAAUAUUGG
RNAcentral lists this ribosomal RNA (310 nucleotides) under uncultured Sphingomonadales bacterium. RNAcentral's name for it is "SSU rRNA". It matches the Rfam family "Bacterial small subunit ribosomal RNA", at positions 29 to 367 of the family's 1533-position model. The record is from RNAcentral. Lineage: Bacteria; Pseudomonadati; Pseudomonadota; Alphaproteobacteria; Sphingomonadales.